Molecule: small nuclear RNA, 107 nt
Organism: Zalophus californianus (California sea lion)
Lineage: Eukaryota; Metazoa; Chordata; Mammalia; Carnivora; Otariidae
Source: Ensembl
GUGCUCCCUUCGGCAGCACCUGUACUAAAAUGAGGCCAAUACGGAGAAGAGUAGCAUAGCUGCUGCGCAGAGAUGAUACGCACAUUGCUAGAGCGUUCCAUAUUUAA